Molecule: RNA transcript, 1782 nt
Organism: Solanum pennellii
Lineage: Eukaryota; Viridiplantae; Streptophyta; Magnoliopsida; Solanales; Solanaceae
Gene name: OTU domain-containing protein DDB_G0284757-like
Exons: 13
Source: RefSeq, a predicted model, not a curated record
AAAAACGCCAAAAGAAGGGACUGAGCAGUGAAAGAGAAGUCAGAAAGAGGUGCAUUUGCAGAAUUUUGAUUCCAUUUUUACUGUCCAUUUCCUCUCUCUCUCUCUCACCUCGUGACAUCCGUCCUUCUCCACUUCUCCCCAAUCAUCAACCAUUUCUCUCCAUCCAUAUAUUACUACUAUUGCUAUUUGUGGCUUCUCGAGUACGGUUUCAGUUGAACUUGCUGCUGUAAUUUGGAUCGGCUGGAAUAAAAUAUGAUUACGCACGAGCAAGAUCCAGAUGUCGUUCGGUGGGGUCUUCAGUUGUUUGAUAGUGAUCCGUACUCUAAUUGCGCAUAUAGUGGUGCCAUGCCCCAAAACAGCUUAGAUUACUAUCAGGACCAUUACUUCAAAGGUGGUCAUUUUAGUACAGAAUCUGGCAGUGAGGAAAAUCACAAUUUCAAUGCACAGCGUCUCCAGGAAGAACUAUCUCAGCUUUCAGUCGCUGAACCACCUUCAAUUCUCCAUCAAAUGGAAGAACACACACAAACACAUUUUUAUCCACAAGACUGGUUUGGUCAACCUAUGGGAAACUACAAUAUUGGAGAAGAGAACUGUGAUGAAGAAGAAACUAAUGAUGGAGCUUCCACUUCAUGCUCUAGCCCAGGAGAAGAGUCAUAUACAGGGGAGGACUGGUCAUAUUCACUUGAAUUGACGGAUGAAUAUGAUCUUGAUGGUGAAGUAGGGAAACGAUUGAACCAGAUGAUUCCAAUUCCUCACAUUCCUAGAAUCAAUGGAGAAAUACCAUCAAUUGAUGAGGCAACCUUAGAUCAUCAAAGACUUCUUGACCGAUUACAGGUUUAUGAACUAGUAGAAUUUAAAGUUCAAGGUGAUGGGAAUUGUCAGUUUCGUGCUUUGUCAGAUCAAUUUUACCGCACCCCUGAGCAUCACAAAUUUGUCAGACAGCAAGUUGUGAAUCAGCUCAAGUCAUGCCCAGAGAUAUAUGACGGAUAUGUUCCCAUGGCCUAUCAUGAUUACCUGAACAAGAUGUCAAAGGACGGCGAGUGGGGUGAUCAUGUAACUCUACAAGCAGCUUCUGAUUCGUAUGGUGUAAAAAUAUUGGUCAUAACAUCUUUCAGAGAUACCUGCUACAUUGAGAUACUUCCCACCAUUCAAAAGUCUGAACGAGUUAUCUUCUUGAGCUUUUGGGCCGAGGUUCACUACAACUCAAUAUAUCCUAUACGAGAUAUCACAGCCAUUGAGAUGAAAAAGAAGUACUUAGCCAUUUCAAAUGAGCAAUUGGAAUCUCAAGAUGGUUACCAAUGAUAGACUGCAGCUAAUACAUUAUGGUUGGCUCAACACUUCUGCAAAUUACCGAUAUCCAGCUCAGCAGAGUUGUUUCUCAUCGUUGAAAAUGGAUAGGAUUCCGAUUCAGCUGAUUGAGCAAGGUGAAAGGAGAUGGAGUGUUAUGCGAGCUGGAAGAAACCGUGUUGUUUUGCAGUGGAAAGGAGGUUAGAGUGAAGAAUUGAUUUUGCAGUGGAAAGAGAGAUGAGAAGAGGAGAUACGCUGGUUGGUGGUGGAGAUUGACGGCGACCGAAAAAAUAGUUGGAAUAUGAUAUUUAUUUUUUGUCAUUUUAAUUUAUCUAGGUGACUAUUAUUUAUCCAGGUGAAAUCCACAUCAUCUUUUUUUUGCCAGCUGACGCGCGUGUGUAGUCAGACUAGGAGCAGCAGACAAAAAGGUGUACGUGAUAGUGGAAUAAACAAGUUUGAAGGGAUAAUUAAAACAGAAUAUAGUUUAAGUGUAAA